This 486-nucleotide long non-coding RNA is filed under the name Carica papaya (papaya). RNAcentral's name for it is "long non-coding RNA (CPAP_LNC009386)". The record is from RNAcentral. Lineage: Eukaryota; Viridiplantae; Streptophyta; Magnoliopsida; Brassicales; Caricaceae.
AUGCGGGAGGCCACGCUGACGAUCCAUGUGCCCCGCGACCGAAUGGCCCGGAAGCGUUCCCGCACGCGUGGAAGGUUCGGAUCCAUUCCCUCCUCAUGCGCGAUUGGACGGUCACGAUUAAACGCGAUGAACGAUCUAGAUUUAUUUUCUUUUUAAACGUGUUUGUACGGUCGAGAUCAAAUUACCAUGAAUGGUCCGGAUUCAUUUAUUCUUUAAACGCGAUAUCACGGUAGAAAUCAAACGCGAUGAACGGUCCAGAUUACCACAAGACAAGUAUAAAUAUCUCAAAUCACAUCGAAUCCAAACCCUAGUCGCCAGAAUCCCGCUGGAGAAGAAGAUCCAGUCGCCGGAGAAGGGAGCCGACCGUUGUCCACCGCCACGCUUGAGCCACCUCCGACCACAAAAAAAGGUAAAAUUUCUCUUAUCCGCUCGAAAUUUGACUGAAGAAAAAUACCCAGCCAUGAAGGUGAGUUGGCAGAGCCACUG